RNAcentral lists this transfer RNA (37 nucleotides) under Crocidura palawanensis (Palawan shrew). RNAcentral's name for it is "partial tRNA-Thr". Lineage: Eukaryota; Metazoa; Chordata; Mammalia; Eulipotyphla; Soricidae. The record is from RNAcentral.
AUAGAGCCUUAGUAGUAUAACUAAUACACUGGUCUUG